RNAcentral lists this ribosomal RNA (503 nucleotides) under Bactrocera barringtoniae. Its description in RNAcentral is "partial large subunit ribosomal RNA". It matches the Rfam family "Bacterial large subunit ribosomal RNA", at positions 1799 to 2568 of the family's 2925-position model. The record is from RNAcentral. Lineage: Eukaryota; Metazoa; Arthropoda; Insecta; Diptera; Tephritidae.
CCUGUUUAACAAAAACAUGUCUUUUUGAGUUAUUUUUAAAGUCUGACCUGCCCACUGAAGUUAUUUAAAUGGCCGCAGUAUUCUAACUGUGCAAAGGUAGCAUAAUCAUUAGUCUUUUAAUUGAAGGCUGGUAUGAACGGUUGGACGAGGUAUAAGCUGUUUCAUAUAAAUUUAUAAUAGAAUUUUAUAUUUUAGUCAAAAAGCUAAAAUUUAAUUAAAAGACGAGAAGACCCUAUAAAUCUUUAUACUUCAUGCUGUUUAAAUUUUUUAGAUUAAUUUUAUUUUUAUAGUUUGAAGUAUUUUGUUGGGGUGAUAUUAAAAUUUAAUGAACUUUUAAUUAUUAAAAAUCAUUAAUUUAUGAAUUAUUGAUCCAUUAGUAGUGAUUAUAAGAUUAAGUUACUUUAGGGAUAACAGCGUAAUUUUUUUGGAGAGUUCAUAUCGAUAAAAAAGUUUGCGACCUCGAUGUUGGAUUAAGAUAUAUUUUUAGGUGUAGCCGCUUAAAU